RNAcentral lists this ribosomal RNA (240 nucleotides) under uncultured Paraglomus. RNAcentral describes it as "partial 18S ribosomal RNA". The stretch from base 94 to 240 matches the Rfam family "Eukaryotic small subunit ribosomal RNA", at positions 738 to 886 of the family's 1831-position model. The record is from RNAcentral. Lineage: Eukaryota; Fungi; Glomeromycota; Glomeromycetes; Paraglomerales; Paraglomeraceae.
GACCUGGCUGGACGGUCCGCCUUCGGGUGAGUACUGUCUGUGGUCGGGUCCUACCUUCUGGCGAAGCGUCAUGGCCUUAACCGGCCGUGGCGGGGAACCAGGACGUUUUACUGUGAAAAAAUUAGAGUAGUUCAAAGCAGGCAAAUCGCUUGGAUACAUUAGCAUGGAAUAAUGGAAUAGGACAAUGGUUCUAUUUGUUGGUUUCUAGGACCGUUGUAAUGAUUAAUAGGGAUAGUUGGG